GAUGAACGCUAGCGAUAGGCUUAACACAUGCAAGUCGAGGGGCAGCACAAGGUAGCUUGCUAUCUGGGUGGCGACCGGCGCACGGGUGCGUAACGCGUAUGCAACUUGCCCUAUACAGGAGGAUAACCCGUCGAAAGACGGACUAAUACUGCGUAUGCUCACAACUUGGCAUCAAGUGGUGAGGAAAGAAAUUCGGUAUAGGAUAGGCAUGCGUCCCAUUAGCUUGUUGGUGAGGUAACGGCUCACCAAGGCAGCGAUGGGUAGGGGAACUGAGAGGUUUAUCCCCCACACUGGUACUGAGACACGGACCAGACUCCUACGGGAGGCAGCAGUGAGGAAUAUUGGUCAAUGGGCGCGAGCCUGAACCAGCCAAGUCGCGUGAAGGAUGACUGUCUUAUGGAUUGUAAACUUCUUUUAUACGGGAAUAACAAGAGUCACGUGUGACUCCCUGCAUGUACCGUAUGAAUAAGCAUCGGCUAACUCCGUG
This 487-nucleotide ribosomal RNA is filed under the name uncultured bacterium. RNAcentral's name for it is "partial 16S ribosomal RNA". It matches the Rfam family "Bacterial small subunit ribosomal RNA", at positions 28 to 507 of the family's 1533-position model. The record is from RNAcentral.